CCGGUUAGACUUUAAGGUUAAAUAAAGAAAUAUUGGAAUAAGUUAAAUAAGUAGUUAUAAAAGAUUUGUAGAAAUAAAAGGUGAAAUUAGAUUGUUUCUUUUAAUUUAAUGUUAACUUAAAUUGAAGCUAAAAAUUUUUAGAUUUAAACUAGGAUUAGAUACCCUACUAUACUAAUAAAGUGAAGUUGAGUUCUUGAUUAUUAAUAGAUAUAUUCUUUAAAUUUAAAGAAUUUGGCGGUAAUUUAGUCUUGUCAGAGGAACCUGUUUAUGAAUCGAUAAACCACGUAGUAUCUUACUCAUUUUUGUGUUCAGUUUAUAUACCAUCAUUAUCAGAUAAUUUUAAGAGAAUAAAUUAUUAAUAUUUUAAUGGAAGUUUAAAUUAGAUCAAGGUGUAGCUAAUAAGUGAGUUUAAAUGGGUUACAAUAAAAUAUAUUUAUAACGGAAUAACUAAGGAAGAAGAGUUAAAUAAGGAGGAUUUGAUUGUAAUAUAAAUUUAAUAUGUUUAGGAGAUAUAAGCUCUAAAUUAUGUACAUAUCGCCCGUCGCUUUCAUUAAAUAGAUGAGAUAAGUC
Molecule: ribosomal RNA, 570 nt
Filed under: Brachyura sp. 7 KYKC-2019
Lineage: Eukaryota; Metazoa; Arthropoda; Malacostraca; Decapoda
Also listed under: 2 other names
Description: partial small subunit ribosomal RNA
Source: RNAcentral